GUUUGAAGUAGCUAUGGGAAUGAUCAAUAUUGAACUUGCUGAGGCUCUUUUCCUGAAAGUGACUUGACCAGAUAUUUGGCUACCCAGUAUGAGUAUCUUUCUGCUACAUUAAAUAAAAUAUCGUGGAGGAACACGAAGAAAAAGGAUGCGCACCUCAACAUAUUCAAGGUCAAGCAGCUUUUUACCAUAUCCAUAGUAUCUUGCUGCUAAAUGAAAGAAUUAGUGUGGAGGAGCAGAGAAAAGGGCACCUCAACAUGUUCAAGGUCAAGCAGAAAUUAGGAGCUAGGUGUGCUUCUCCAGAGCUGAAAACUUCUUGGCAUGAAGAGAAGAAGAAGCAAGAAAAAGCAGUUUUAAAUAU
Saccostrea cuccullata (small rock oyster) is the source of this 358-nucleotide long non-coding RNA. RefSeq lists it as uncharacterized. The record is from RefSeq and is a predicted model, not a curated record. Lineage: Eukaryota; Metazoa; Mollusca; Bivalvia; Ostreida; Ostreidae. The transcript has 4 exons.